Molecule: RNase P RNA, 382 nt
Filed under: Arthrobacter sp. NEB 688
Lineage: Bacteria; Bacillati; Actinomycetota; Actinomycetes; Micrococcales; Micrococcaceae
Description: RNase P RNA component class A
Rfam family: Bacterial RNase P class A
About the family: Ribonuclease P (RNase P) is a ubiquitous endoribonuclease, found in archaea, bacteria and eukarya as well as chloroplasts and mitochondria. Its best characterised activity is the generation of mature 5'-ends of tRNAs by cleaving the 5'-leader elements of precursor-tRNAs. Cellular RNase Ps are ribonucleoproteins.
Source: RNAcentral
CGAGCCGGGCGGACGGUCGCGUCGGCGGGGAGACCCGCCGCCGAGGAAGGUCCGGGCUCCGAAGGGCAGGAUGGUGGCCAACAGCCACCCGGGGUGACCCGCGGGACAGUGCCACAGAGAAGAGACCGCCGGCCGCGCGCGAGCGGGGCCGGUAAGGGUGAAACGGUGGUGUAAGAGACCACCAGCGGCCUGGGUGACCAGGUCGGCUCGGUAAACCCCAUCCGGAGCAAGCCCAGACAGGAUGCGUUCGAGGGCGGCCCGCCCGAGCAUCCGGGUAGGGCGCUGGAGGUGGUCGGCAACGGCCACCCGAGAUGGAUGACCGUCACCGUGCGACCGGCGACGGCGCACGGCACAGAACCCGGCCUACAGCCCGGCUCGUCCC